This 253-nucleotide ribosomal RNA is filed under the name uncultured bacterium. Its description in RNAcentral is "partial 16S ribosomal RNA". It matches the Rfam family "Bacterial small subunit ribosomal RNA", at positions 524 to 776 of the family's 1533-position model. The record is from RNAcentral.
UACGUAGGGGGCUAGCGUUGUCCGGAAUCAUUGGGCGUAAAGCGCGUGUAGGCGGCCCGGUAAGUCCGCUCUGAAAGUCGGGGGCUCAACCCUCGGAUGCGGGUGGAUACUGUCGGGCUUGAGUGCGGAAGAGGCGAGUGGAAUUCCUGGUGUAGCGGUGAAAUGCGCAGAUAUCAGGAGGAACACCAAUUGCGAAGGCAGCUCGCUGGGACGUCACUGACGCUGAGACGCGAAAGCGUGGGGAGCAAACAGG